CUCACCUCCCCCACUCCUUCUCACCCUCGUGCCGCUGCCCCCGAGUCCCCGAGUGUUGCGCCGCCGCCUCCCGCACCACGACCCCCUCCGCCGCCGCCCCUCCUCCGCUACCCCCUCUUCCUCUUCCUGCUGCGGAAUCCUCCCUACGCCAUGGCGGCUAGGGUUUCCUAGUGCCGAGCCGAGGAGCUCAAGGGCCGGGUGUGGCCUCCAUGGAGGUAGUCCUCGAGCAGAUCUGGGUCCUCCACGCCUACCUCAGCGAGCCUCGUGUCCUUGUGCACCCACUUCCUCCUGCUCCGUCCGCCAAAGGGACCCGACGUGGUGACGACAGGGAGGUUACGGCGGUAGGUGCCGCAGCGCUGGCGGCGGCCGUGGCGCUAGGAGCCUGCACGUGAGUAUGCAUCCCUUUCACCCCUCUGUCCUCCCAAUUUCUUCCCAGCUAUACAAGUGAGUCAUGGACUCUUGAGUACAUAUCCUCUGCACAUGUCACUCAAACACAUUCCAUUUUCAUUCUGCCCGCUGUAGUAAUAUGUAAUUGUUUGAACUUUAUUUCUGAAUGCAUGGCUCCAUUCAAUUUUGGCUCAUAUCCCUGUUAAGAUACAAUGAACGUUUGUAUUUGUAUUGUCCUUUUCUUCAGGUUAUUUUCUAAUUGUAUAUUGCACAUCAUCAGCCAUGUCCCUAGGCUUCUGAUAUCCACCUGUAAUGCCAGAAAUUGGUCGUGGACCCAUUGGCGACUGCUGAACAGGUGAGGGUGCGGUAAACUGGCAUCAGGCUCUUAAGGUCCUCCCAGUGCGUUCCUUCGAUCUCGCCUUGAAGAUCUAUCAAGCUGACAAGGUCGCGUGCCCAUCAUGCCCAGGACGAGUCCCUAGGGGUGUACAGCCGGUGAAGAAGUUUGAGCAAAAGGCUUUUGUUCUGAACGGCCAGGUCCUUGAGGCCAAGUCCACCGUGCUCUUUUGUCUUGCAAUUUUUUUUUCAUUAGCUUUGACAUUGUCAGCAUGCACUGUUGUGAUUGAUUGAUGAAUACUUCUUUGGAAUGCUUCUUAGGUCAGCAGCUAAUGUUGCAACCUUUUAGAUGGAGACUAGAGGAAGGUUACCUUCUCAGUCUGUCAAGUGGGUGAAAGAUCAGCGGCCACAGGUUCAACUGACAGAUGCAUGGUUAGCUCCAUAAGAUUUGACAUUUGUUGUAAUCAAAGAUAUCAUCUCCCCUGCAUCUAUAGAUGCCUGACUAAGAGAAUGACACUACAAGCACAUCCUAUCUCGGCUGUUUAUUUUCCAAGCAGGUGUGAUAUCUCCUGUUCCGGCAAUAUGGACUCCCUGAUCUCUCACCACACCCUGCUGAUAAGGUAUUCUGUGAUUGGUGGGUGCAGAUCCAUGCUCAUCCUAGAAACAAGCCAUGACUGAAUGCGCCGCUCAUUUUAGGUGCUUGGAUGUUGUGGUGACACCGCAAUGAUCGUGUGUUUAAUGGAGUUUCCCAUAGUGAGUAGCAUGCAGGCUGUCCUCGUAUUCGAGGAAAAAAAUCAAUGGGCGAAAUGUUUUUACCCAGGACGGAGGGAGUAGAUGAGAACCUCAAGACUUUGAAGACUUGGUUGGAGAAUUUCUGGAGUCAAACGGAUGACAUGGAGAUUGAAGGUGUUAUCGGCUAAUAGACGUCUUGAGUGGUUUCUUUUUUUUUCAGUUUCGUGAUGGUUUGUUCAAGAGAGUUCUUUUGCUACUCUUCUGUUUCUGUAGCUCUGCUCUAGUUUCCGGUUCCCAGGAGGUGGUGCUGGCUAGCACGUUUCUUGUAAGCUGGAAUCCCCAGCAUCGUUUUUCCUUUUGUUUUCCUGUUAUGGCUACCUUGUGAUCGGAUGUUGAGCUUUCUAUAAAAGCUGGGUUUACCUC
This is a long non-coding RNA of Setaria italica (foxtail millet), 1875 nucleotides long. RefSeq lists it as uncharacterized. The record is from RefSeq and is a predicted model, not a curated record. The transcript is spliced from 3 exons. Lineage: Eukaryota; Viridiplantae; Streptophyta; Magnoliopsida; Poales; Poaceae.